This 67-nucleotide transfer RNA is filed under the name Ammianus toi. Its description in RNAcentral is "tRNA-Tyr". Lineage: Eukaryota; Metazoa; Arthropoda; Insecta; Hemiptera; Tingidae. The record is from RNAcentral.
AAUAAGGUGGCUGAAGUUUUAGGCUAUAAAUUGUAAAUUUAUAUAUAAGUAUGUUACUUUCUUAUUA